RNAcentral lists this ribosomal RNA (439 nucleotides) under uncultured bacterium. Its description in RNAcentral is "partial 16S ribosomal RNA". It matches the Rfam family "Bacterial small subunit ribosomal RNA", at positions 339 to 795 of the family's 1533-position model. The record is from RNAcentral.
CUACGGGUCGCACCAGUGAGGAAUAUUGCACAAUGGGGGGAACCCUGAUGCAGCAACGCCGCGUGGAGGAUGACGCAUUUCGGUGUGUAAACUCCUUUUAUAUGUCAAGAAAAUGACGGUAGCAUAUGAAUAAGCACCGGCUAACUCCGUGCCAGCAGCCGCGGUAAUACGGAGGGUGCAAGCGUUACUCGGAAUCACUGGGCGUAAAGGACGCGUAGGCGGGUUGGAAAGUCAGGUGUGAAAUCCUACAGCUUAACUGUAGAACUGCACUUGAAACUUCUAAUCUAGAGUAUGGGAGGGGGAGAUGGAAUUAGUGGUGUAGGGGUAAAAUCCGUAGAUAUCACUAGGAAUACCUAAAGCGAAGGCGAUCUCCUGGAACAUUACUGACGCUAAGGCGUGAAAGCGUGGGGAGCAAACAGGAUUAGAUACCCGGGUAGUC